This 467-nucleotide ribosomal RNA is filed under the name uncultured bacterium. RNAcentral describes it as "partial 16S ribosomal RNA". It matches the Rfam family "Bacterial small subunit ribosomal RNA", at positions 28 to 507 of the family's 1533-position model. The record is from RNAcentral.
GACGAACGCUGGCGGCGUGCUUAACACAUGCAAGUCGAACGGAAAGGCUCCAGCUUGCUGGAGUACUCGAGUGGCGAACGGGUGAGUAACACGUGGGUAAUCUGCCCUGCACUCUGGGAUAAGCCUGGGAAACUGGGUCUAAUACUGGAUAUGACCUUUCUCCUUAUGGGGUUUGGUGGAAAGUUUUUCGGUGUAGGAUGAGCCCGCGGCCUAUCAGCUUGUUGGUGGGGUGAUGGCCUACCAAGGCGACGACGGGUAGCCGGCCUGAGAGGGUGAUCGGCCACAUUGGGACUGAGAUACGGCCCAGACUCCUACGGGAGGCAGCAGUGGGGAAUAUUGCACAAUGGGCGGAAGCCUGAUGCAGCGACGCCGCGUGAGGGAUGACGGCCUUCGGGUUGUAAACCUCUUUCAGCAGGGACGAAGCGCAAGUGACGGUACCUGCAGAAGAAGCACCGGCUAACUACGUG